CAGCUCAAAUUUGAAAGCUGGCUCCUUCGGAGUCCGCAUUGUAAUUUGUAGAGGAUGAUUCGGCGAGGGCUCCCGCCUAAGUCCACUGGAACGUGGCGUCAUAGAGGGUGAGAAUCCCGUAUGUGGUGGGCUGCCUUAGCCAUGUGAAUCUCCUUCGACGAGUCGAGUUGUUUGGGAAUGCAGCUCUAAAUGGGAGGUAAAUUUCUUCUAAAGCUAAAUACCGGCCAGAGACCGAUAGCGCACAAGUAGAGUGAUCGAAAGAUGAAAAGCACUUUGGAAAGAGAGUUAAAAAGUACGUGAAAUUGUUGAAAGGGAAGGGCUUGCAACCAGACUUGUCCGCAGUUGCUCAGCCGGUCUCCUGACCGGCGUACUCUUCUGCGGCCAGGCCAGCAUCAGUUCGGGCGGUCGGAUAAAGACCUAGGGAAUGUAGCUCCUCUCGGGGAGUGUUAUAGCCCUGGGUGGAAUGCGGCCAGCCUGGACUGAGGAUCUCGCUUCGGUAAGGAUGCUGGCGUAAUGGUUGUAAGCCGCCCGUCUUGAAACACGGACC
RNAcentral lists this ribosomal RNA (547 nucleotides) under Phaeobotryon sp. Its description in RNAcentral is "partial large subunit ribosomal RNA". It matches the Rfam family "Eukaryotic large subunit ribosomal RNA", at positions 104 to 667 of the family's 3401-position model. The record is from RNAcentral. Lineage: Eukaryota; Fungi; Ascomycota; Dothideomycetes; Botryosphaeriales; Botryosphaeriaceae.